RNAcentral lists this long non-coding RNA (4463 nucleotides) under Canis lupus familiaris (dog). RNAcentral's name for it is "lncRNA (ENSCAFG00845017377.1)". The record is from RNAcentral. Lineage: Eukaryota; Metazoa; Chordata; Mammalia; Carnivora; Canidae.
UUUUUUUAGCAAUCUUUACAUCCAACAUGGGGCUUGAACUCACUAAGAGUCUCAUGCUCUUCCCACUAAGCCAGUCAGGUGCCCCUACAUUAAACUCUUAUUAACAUAUCUUACAGUUGAGAUCAUUGAGGCUCAAACAGCUUAAAUAUAUUGUCUAAGGUCAAAUGCCAUGAUGUGCAUAUCUGUAGGGUGAGCCCAGGCAAUUUGACUCCAGAACCAAAGUUUUAGUCACUAUAUCAUUGGUCUAUUACAUUAGAAUCAUCAGGGAGCAUUCCAAAAAUAUUCAUGCUGGGUCCCACCAGACAGUCUAAUAAUUUAAUUGGUCUGGGUUGGGGCCCAGACAGGAUACCUUUCAAAAGCAUCUAGGUGACUCUACCACAGGCAGGUUGAAAACCUCAACAUAACAUAGUCUCCAUGUCUCCAUGCUUACACUAGGGUACACCACCCAAGACCAGCUGCUAGUAAGUAGUGGAGCUGGGUUCUGAAUUCAAAUCUGUAUGGACUCAGAGUUUAGUUCAAUCAUCAUCAUCACCUUGACCAGUACUUCUACCAUUUCCACUCCAACACCACUUUAUAUUUGAAGAUUUACAAUUUACACAGCAUAAUCAAAGACAGAAAAAUAUUUCUCCAGUCAGCAUAUCUAAUAAAAGAUGUUGCUUUCAAAUAUUUUUAUGACUUCUUAAAUAAUCUGAAGUUGUCAUCAUCAUCAUCUUUUUCUUCUUCUUUUAAAGGUUUGGCUUGUAGAAAGUAUUCCAACUAUAAUGGCAAAGCACUCAGUUUUCCUAUGAGCUUAUAAAUUGAAGUGGUUCUCUGGGAUAAACAAAAAAUCUUUUCAUCUAAAAAUUUAAUUGAGACCAAUUCAGUGCCCUGGGAGUUAGUUCCAAUGUUUGGCAAAGGUUUCUGGCACUGAGCACUGGGCCUUGGCCUCAAGCCUGCACUGGGUCACCUUACAGCUGCACCUCAGGGCUAUUUGCCAAGAAGCUGGUCUCAUGGCAGCACUACCCUAUGGCUUACCAGAACACUGAGCCUCGAUACCCAAUCCGGCUGAAAGCAAUUCACAUGACUACAACUCUGUUUAGCAAACAACCUACAGGAGUCAUCUCGUGGAACAUUGUAGCUCCCUCUGACAUUUCUGGAAGAAAAGAGGACUAGUUUUCAGUAGUUUGUCUAGGAUCAGGGAAGGGCGAUCUCAAAGUUUAAUAUAUAACCAGAAAGUUACAGAUUGAUGUCACCAUCGCAUAAAAGGGAAAACAUCUGUCACUUCCAUUUGUAGCCAGGUUUCUAGCAGCUUUUUCAAAAAGGAAGAAGAUGAGGAACCAGUUAUCCUGGUUCAGAGGCAAGAGAGAUCGGGAUUUGAAAACUGGUCUUCCCACUAACCAAGUGAAUUUAGGCAGAGAGCAUAAUCUCAUUAGGCCUCAGUUUCUUCAUCUAUAUAUUAAGGUUUGGGCUCAUUAAAUAAAUUCUAAGUAUCAGUCCUAAAAUUAUAUUUUAUGUAUGAAUAUAUACUUAUAGUUUUUCUAAUUUGCUACAACCACUUGAAACAUCCCCUUACUAGAGAAAAUGUGAAUUUCUAAAAACCUGAGGUUGACAUUAAGGAUGGAACUUAAGAACCAGAAAUUGUAUCUUUUUAGCUGUACGAGGCUAUUUAGAUAAUGUACUCCAACUUGCUCAUUUUAUCUUCUCCCUCUCUGUCUUCUCUUUCCUUUUUUCUUUUUAAAAUUCAAGAAAUCUUUUUUCUCUUUUUUAAAGAUUUUAUUUAUUUGUUCAUGAGAGACACACAGAGAAAGGCAGAGACAUAGGCAGAGGGAGAAGCAAGAUAUCUGCAGAGAGCCCAAUGUGGGACUCAAUCCCAGGACCGGGGAUCAUGACCUGAGCCAAAGGCAGAUGCUCAACCACUGAGCCACCCAGGCAUCCCCUCAAGAAAUCUUUUCUAAGUUCUGCUGUGUACCAGGCACUGAACCAAGUGCUGGAAACCAAGACUGAGUCCUUGGUCUUAAAGAAUUUCCAGUACAGUAGGCACAAGUAAGCAUGUUAUUAACACACAAUGAAGAAAGUGCUACAGCAGAGGUGAGGAGAGGGUACAAUGACAGAGGCUUAGUCUCAGGGUGGGGAAGGGGUGGGAGUCAGGCCAGGGUUCCUGGAGAAGUGACAUCUAAGCUAAGACCAGGAGAAGAGCCACUUUUCUAGGCAGAAAAGCAGCAUAGGUAUUUAAAUAUUACAGGGGGAACUCUGAAAUAGUGGGGAGGAUUGCCCAAGGGCAUGCAUCUGGCCAGUGGCAGUGCUGGAGCUCAAGGCCCCAACCUCCAAAUUAUAGCCUUGGUUGAUUGUCAAUGACAUGAAUUAAUAGCUUUUGUGGGGUUUUUUGGCUAGGUGAAACAUUAGAGUGCAUGCCUUUGCUGCCACCAACUGAGUUAAGAUUCAGGGCUCUUUCUGGGCUCUCUAGGCUUAGGAUCUCCCCUGUCUGGCUCCAGUGUCUUCAUCAGUAACUCAUCAACACAACCACAUCACAGGCCCAUCAACUGAGAAACACCACCACCAAUCUGCUCUAGGGAUGAGGCUCCUCCAGCUGCGGAAUAGUGUAGAUGGAUACAGCUCCUGCUGUGACUGGUUCAGGAGACAAGUCUUGGUUAGUAACAGCUCAGUCCUAUGAGGACUGUCUUCCAAUAUUUAAAGGGUUGUAGGAGGGAUUAGAUCUAUGCCAUGUGGGGUGAAAGGGAAGAAUAAGAAUCAAAUGAAUGUAUAGGUACAGGUAAGUAUAUUUCCCUAAAUGAAAAGAACUUGAGGCUGGAUGCACUUUUAAGUAAUGGAUGUCCCUCCACCUAAAGUAUUUAAAACAAGGCAGAAUGACCAUUUCACUGGGAUGUUACAAAGGGGACAUAGGAUUUGAUCUAUAGAGGUCUAGUCAAAUCCUUCCAGCUUGGGGCUUCUGCAUUUUCACAGUUGGCCCAGGCCAACUGAGGUCUAAUUGUUCUAGUUUCUUAUCUAUUCCUCACAAAGUAUUUACUCUUAGUUCUAGUUAAUUAACAUUUGCGAGCACAUUAUUUUUUACAUUUCCGAGCAAAGAAAAACUUAUCGUGUAGUAUGAUAUUUAAGAAGGCAGUUUAGUGGGGUUCCCCUCCCCCUCAUAAAGCAUUAAUAUAUAUAUACUGCUAGGUAGUGAAACUGCUAUAUUUAUGUGAGGAAAUGGGCAGUUUGGCCCGCGUGUGUACCACACGCACCUAUCCAGUCUGGUGCACGGGUACUGUUUUAUUUUAGGUGUAUUCUAUCGCUGUCCAUACAUGCUGUUCACGCUAUGGUCCAUCGUGUGUUCCAUACCCAAAGGAAACUUUAUCAAGUCUUCCUUUCCUUUCUCCCACCUUUGUUUUUCUUUGUGGAAACUGUGCCACUGCUUCAUUAGUCUAAAGAUAUGGAGAGAGAAGGGAGAGUGUAGUCAGUGAAAACUGAAGAUAUUACUGGCAGUUCUGACAGGUGCAAUUUAGAUUUUGUUAACCCCGAAUUACUUUCAGAGAGCAGUGGUAAAAGAUGAUUUAUAUUGUUUUGUGAGGCAGACUCCUCUGUUAGUAACAUAGUAAAAUAAAACAUAUAAUUUGUUUUUACCUGCUUUCUAUGCUUGGUGCAUGUAAUGUGUUAUAAAUCAACUAUAUUAAAAAUAUUUUGUUUUAAAUUAGUAUUUGGAUAAUAUAUUACCUGAGGUCUAAAAUAUGUAUGUUCUAAAACAACAUAAUAGCUUUUUCAAAAAAAAGAGAAAAAGAAUUGCAAGCCCAUUUUCUGAGCGUUCAAAAUCAGACAACAUUAAAAGGACCAGCCAAAAUGAGCUGGCUCUUCCCUAUGAGCCAUGGAACAUAAAUUACUUUAACAUGUUAUGCAAAGGAACUUGUCCUGCCCUAGCUCCUAUAGUCUACCUUAGAGAGAAGCUUAGGCUCAACUACACAUUGAAAAAAUAGAAGUUCCAUAGCUGCUGCAGGUGAUCCUGCACCUGGAGCAAUGCGGGCCAUGCCUCAGACGGUCCCUAAGCUGCUACAGGUGAUCAUGCACCUGGAGCAAUGCGGGCCAUGCCUCAGACGGUCCCUAAGCACUCUGUAGAGUUACAGGGACUGGCCUCUGCUAUAGCUGUUUACUGUGCAUGGGAUGAAUAAAUCAUUUUCCUCAAGGUAAUCCUGCGGAGGGCUUCCCCUCAAAGAGUCACAAUCAUCCGGGCUCUGCAUGCAACAUAAAAUUAUGGCUUUAUAGUACACUGCUAUGGUAGCGUGUUGAGAAGAGCUCCACCAGGUACGCCUGGGGGGCUCAGGGGUUGGGCGUCUGCCUUUGGCCCAGGGUGUGAUCCCAGAGACCUGGGAUCGAGUCCCACAUUGGGCUCCCUGCAGGGAGCCUGCUUCUCCCUCUGCCUGUGUCUCCACCUCUCUCUCUCUGUGUGUCUCUCAUGAAUAAAUAAAUACAAUCUUAAAAAAAAAAAAAAAAAAAAA